AUACUUACCUGGCGGGGGAGAUACCAAGAUCUCGAAGGUAGUUUUCCCAGGGUGAGGCUUAUCCAUCACACUUCGAAUGUGCUGACCCCUAUGAUUUCCCCAAAUGUGGGAAACUCGACUGCAUAAUUUGCGGUAGUGGGAGACUGUGUUCGAGCUCUCCCCUG
Molecule: small nuclear RNA, 164 nt
Organism: Apodemus sylvaticus (European woodmouse)
Lineage: Eukaryota; Metazoa; Chordata; Mammalia; Rodentia; Muridae
Product: U1 spliceosomal RNA
Exons: 1
Source: RefSeq, a predicted model, not a curated record